This 224-nucleotide long non-coding RNA is filed under the name Ananas comosus (pineapple). RNAcentral describes it as "long non-coding RNA (ACOM_LNC005543)". Lineage: Eukaryota; Viridiplantae; Streptophyta; Magnoliopsida; Poales; Bromeliaceae. The record is from RNAcentral.
AUACAUCCAAACACUCGAACCUCGCAAUUUGCAAAGGUCCAGUGUGUUACACCUUUACUUUAAGCUAUCUUUAGCUUUCACAUUCUUUAACUUUACACAUUCUUUAUGCCCCACUUUACAUUAGCUUUAUUCAUUAAUAUCAUUCUUUACCUCGCAUUAUUUCUUUGCUUCACACUAACUCUAGUGUCACUUUACUUUACAUUUUCAAAUGCCACUCGAGCUAU